AACCUGUGACAUUACCUGGUAAUAACCUGGUUAAAACCUGAGACAUUACCUGGUAAUAACCUGGUUAUAACCUGAGACAUUACCUGGUAAUAACCUGAGACAAUACCUGGAAAUAACCUGGUUAUAACCUGAGACAUUACUUGGUAAUAACCUGGUAAUAACCUGGUAAUUACCUGGUAAGAACCUGAGACAUUACUUGGUUAUAACCUGGUUAUUACCUGGUUAUAACCUGAGACAUUAUCAUGUUAUAACCUGGUAAUAACCUAAGACAUUACCUGGUUUUAACCUGGUUAUAACCUGGUAAGUACCUGGUAAUAACCUGAGACAUUACCCUGUUUAAACCUGGUUAUAACCUGGUUACAACCUGGUAAUAACCUGAGACAUUACCCUGUUAUAACCUGGUUAUAACCUGGUUAUAACCUGAGACAAUACCUGGUUAUAACCUGAGACAUUACCUGGUUAUAACCUAGUUAUAACCUGGUUAUAACCUGAGACAUUACCUGGUUAUAACCUGGUUAUAACCUGAAACAGAACCUGGUUAU
Non-coding RNA from Xyrichtys novacula (pearly razorfish), 542 nucleotides. NCBI's taxonomy places the organism in Eukaryota, Metazoa, Chordata, Actinopteri, Labriformes, Labridae. The record is from the annotation of a GenBank genome assembly.